AUGCUUAACACAUGCAAGUCGAACGGUAACGCGGGGGCAACCCUGGCGACGAGUGGCGGACGGGUGAGUAAUACGUAGGAAUCUGCCCUGUAGUGGGGGAUAACCCGGCGAAAGCCGGGCUAAUACCGCAUACGCUCUACGGAGGAAAGUGGGGGAUCGCAAGACCUCACGCUAAAGGAUGAGCCUACGUCGGAUUAGCUAGUUGGUAGGGUAAUGGCCUACCAAGGCGACGAUCCGUAGCUGGUCUGAGAGGACGAUCAGCCACACUGGGACUGAGACACGGCCCAG
Molecule: ribosomal RNA, 288 nt
Filed under: uncultured bacterium
Lineage: Bacteria
Description: partial 16S ribosomal RNA
Rfam family: Bacterial small subunit ribosomal RNA
Source: RNAcentral